Molecule: non-coding RNA, 117 nt
Organism: Thalictrum thalictroides
Lineage: Eukaryota; Viridiplantae; Streptophyta; Magnoliopsida; Ranunculales; Ranunculaceae
Source: the annotation of a GenBank genome assembly
GUUGAGGGGGAUGUUGGCUGGCUCGAGGCUUUUUUAAUCAUGUAGCUCGAUCUAAGCUAGUUUUAGUUGGUUUGAUUGCCUGAUUAAGGCAUCGGACCAGGCUUCAUUCCUCUCAAC